AAAGGAAUCAAAAGUUAAUGGCAUAACAGUAGAUAUGUUGAAGUGUUAGGGGCAAAAUGGGAAUUUAAUAAUAUUAAAAAAAGGGUGAAUAGUGUUUUGAUGUGAUUUAAUUAGGGGGUUUGCUGUGGCUUUUGGAAUGAAACCGAGAGACAGAGAGGGGGAGUCUCAGGUGUUUCACAGAGAGGAAAGAAAGAAAGAAAAAGAGAAGAAGAAGAAGAAGAAAGAAGAAGAGGAAGGGGAUUCGAGGAGGAGAGGGAUCCCGGUUGCACUUCCAGCUGAAGGGAAAAACGUAGAUCUCCUUCCCCUCUACGCAAGGACCUCGAUUUCCAAAAAAAAAAAGGUAAAUAUCCAUUUCUAUCUAGUCUUUUGAUGACAUUAGGCUAUACAAAGGGUGGAUAUAGUCUAGAGGGGUCGGAUAAGGGUUGUAGAGGCGGUUAAAAUAGGAAGAAUCGGAUUUUGACAAAUUCUUCCGGCACUACGGAAAAACUGUGUCGAAGUCCCAACUUCGGCGAAUUAUUUAGGGGGUCAAACG
This 532-nucleotide long non-coding RNA is filed under the name Phoenix dactylifera (date palm). Its description in RNAcentral is "long non-coding RNA (PDAC_LNC016297)". Lineage: Eukaryota; Viridiplantae; Streptophyta; Magnoliopsida; Arecales; Arecaceae. The record is from RNAcentral.